This 489-nucleotide long non-coding RNA is filed under the name Calidris pugnax (ruff). RNAcentral describes it as "lncRNA (ENSCPUG00000003752.1)". Lineage: Eukaryota; Metazoa; Chordata; Aves; Charadriiformes; Scolopacidae. The record is from RNAcentral.
UUGCUAACAGCGUUUUCUUCUUGGCUUUCGUUUCUUUUUCACAGCGCAAAAUCACUCAAGGUGAAGAUUUCAGUGGAUGACAUCGAAAAGAUUUGGUGCCAUUAUGGAGGGGUUUUGUUUCACCAGCCCAUUUAUUGAUCUCUAUUUGCCAUGCCUGGACCUCCAGGAUGACCCACUGAACAGCUACGUGUGAUACUGCCCAGUGAGAUGGACAGUCGGUGGGACACGGGGCACCCCACCUUCCCCCAGGGAUGCCCGCACCGUUCACCCCUCCAGAAUUACUGCCUGUGUAUCUCUGCAUGCUCAGUUUCCAGCUGUGUGCCCAUGCAUGUCCAUCUGUCACCCCCGGAGUGACACGGAAAACAUCGCUUGGGAUUUUAUCUGAAGGGCAGGUUUGCUCCUGUGCUCACUUCAAGGACGGAGCCAAACCGGGGGAAGCAAAUGCUAACCCUAGAAAGGGUUUCUGCUGGUUUCAAAGCUAAUAAUGCC